UAUUAUAUUUAUACAUUUAUAUUUAUGUGUAUAUGAUAUAUACUAUGAUUAUGUUUAUAAUAUCAAAAAUUCAUCCUGACAAUAUAUUUUUUUCAGAAUUAUCGUAAAAAAUGGAGAAAAUGAAAAUAGAGGUAUAUAAUUUUAAAACAAUUGUAAAAAAAAAAGAUAGUGAUGUCUUCCCAUCUCAUCCAUCUGAGGGGAUAAAACUCUUUUAUCGAUGUUAUCCAGUCUGUUAUUUCGUCAUUUAAUUUUCUUCUCUUUUUUAUCUAUGCACAGUCAAAAUUAUGCUUCCAAAUACAUUUAGGUAUCGUAGUAUAGCAAUAUGUAGAAUGUUACUACGAGCGAACACAUUCAUCAUAUCGUUCAUCGAUCAUAUUUUAUUUCUGCGACAAGUUAAAAAACUCACAAGGAUUCUAUUCCAACGCUAUCAAACGAUUCGAAGGUUCAAAAUAAAAAUAAAAAUAAUAACAAUAACAAUAACAAUAAUAACAAUAAUAACGAUAAUAACGAUGAUAACGAUGAUUAAGAUGAUAAAGAUGAUAAAGAUGAUAAAGAUGACGACGACAAUGACAAUGACAAUGACAAUGA
Molecule: unclassified non-coding RNA, 588 nt
Filed under: Athalia rosae (coleseed sawfly)
Lineage: Eukaryota; Metazoa; Arthropoda; Insecta; Hymenoptera; Athaliidae
Description: misc RNA ENSAEAG00005009591.1
Source: RNAcentral